Molecule: ribosomal RNA, 253 nt
Filed under: uncultured bacterium
Lineage: Bacteria
Also listed under: 1 other name
Description: partial 16S ribosomal RNA
Rfam family: Bacterial small subunit ribosomal RNA
Source: RNAcentral
UACAGAGGUCCCAAGCGUUGUUCGGAUUCAUUGGGCGUAAAGGGUGCGUAGGCGGUGCCGUAAGUCGGAUGUGAAAUCCCGGAGCUUAACUCCGGAACUGCAUUCGAUACUGCGGUGCUUGAGGACUGGAGAGGAGAUUGGAAUUCACGGUGUAGCAGUGAAAUGCGUAGAUAUCGUGAGGAAGACCAGUGGCGAAGGCGGAUCUCUGGACAGUUCCUGACGCUGAGGCACGAAGGCCAGGGGAGCAAACGGG